CGUAGGGGCCAAGCGUUGUUCGGAUUUACUGGGCGUAAAGGGCGCGUAGCGGCGAAUCAAGUCAGCUGUGAAAUCUCCGAGCUUAACUCGGAACGUCAGCUGAUACUGUUUUGCUAGAGUGCAGAAAGGGCAACCGGAAUUCUUGGUGUAGCGGUGAAAUGCGUAGAUAUCAAGAGGAACACCUGAGGCGAAGGCGGGCUGCUAGGCUGACACUGACGCUGAAGCGCGAAAGCUAGGGUAGCAAACGGGAUUAGAUACCCCGGUAGUCCUAGCCCUAAACGAUGUAUGCUUGGUGUCUGGAGUUUUUAUCUCUGGGUGCCGUCGCUAACGCUUUUAGCAUACCGCCUGGGGAGUACGCACGCAAGUGUG
RNAcentral lists this ribosomal RNA (369 nucleotides) under uncultured organism. RNAcentral's name for it is "bacterial SSU rRNA". It matches the Rfam family "Bacterial small subunit ribosomal RNA", at positions 526 to 896 of the family's 1533-position model. The record is from RNAcentral.